UGGAGAUCUGUUCUGCUGGAGUUUUGUGAGCCCAGGAUAGGGGUUUGCUUCGGGGCAUAAAGCUUGGAUUCUGAUCUGCAAAUUCAUGUGUGGUUUGGGUGCUCACUAUGAGCUUCUCACAGGGAGUGCUGAGUUGCUUCAGCUCACAUUGUAUUUAUGGUAAGUGGAAGUUUUCUCUCCAUGAACUCUUCAGAGAAGUCUUGCUGCAUAGUGUGGCAUGCAAAGGGAAUUUUCAUCCACUUGUGGAGCCUCAGUGUGUCCACGAUAUUUGUCAGUAGAAUCUCCAGUUGUAGUACACUGCAAUCAAGUGGCUUGGAUUCAAGUCCCAGAGGCAGUCAUACCUCUUCAGCUUUUGAUUAGAAGUUAAACUCAGAACUGAAGGCAAUGUGGUUCAUUGCAGCUUUUCCUAAAAUCUAGGCUGGAACAACAGACCUGCUUUGACAGAAACCACAGUUGGUUCAAAUGUGAAGAACUGAUAUGUCACUAUCAAUACAAGCAGCAUCUAAAUACAAAUAUCAAAUAAAGUCAUUCAAAGUGUGAGAGCACCAGCUCAGAAUGGUGCAAAAAUUCAUGGUUUUGAUUAUCAUAGCAGAUCAUUUACUUAAACUAAAUUUACAUUUAUUGAAACUAGGAUUGAUUUUUGAAUGGGAGUCUAUAUUCGUAAUGCUAGUUUUUCCUGAAAUAUUUAUUUACAUCUACAAAUCAUGUUUCUGCCUAGAAAAAUCUGCAGCUAGAAUAUCAAUAUGUAGUUUUCUGCUUAAUUCAUAGCUAGAUGAUUAAUUAUUCCCUUAGUAUACAGGUAUUUGCUUUUACUUAUUCCUACCUGUGUUUUUCACUGUGUCUUUUAUGGGUGAAAGUCUUAUAACAAGCGUUGCUAAGAAAAGCUGCUGCUUUAUGAGCAAUAGAGGUGCACUUUAAGUUAAUGCCUACAGCAAACUACUAACAAAACGUGCAUUCUUUUAAAGACUGAGAACAGGACUGAACUGUAAAAAGUACUAGCAAUACAUCUUUUGUGGCUGUUGUGACUGUGCACUUCCAGGCCGUUGUCUUAUCUAUUGGAUGCCCUCGUAACAAUUGAAAAAGAUAGGUGGGAAAUAAUGUGAGGAAAAAAACAAAAAAAGGUGGGUUUUUUUGGUCUGUUUUGUUUAUUUUUUAUAAAUCAGAUUUCUAGCAGUUCUUGGCUAUGGAUGAAUCAGAAAUAGUAGCAUAAUAGGCAUUUUUGCAGAACGCUGAGAUGUUAAUUUUAAGUCUCAGAGAAAUGUUUGAAUAAACAAGUGAAAAGUUUGAAUAAACAUAUCAAAUCCCCACCAGGCAUGAAAUAACUGUAUCUUCUGAAGUCCAGAAUUGUUUGACAGUUGUUAAGGUAACUUUUAAGUUACCUUUGUAAACAGAGUUUGAUUGCUCAUUCCUAGCAAUAAAUGACUGCGGCUCUGGAGAGCCUCUCAAUAUUAAGAUAAAAAUAUUAGAACUGUGAGGAUAGACUAAAAAUGAACAUAUUUGAGGAUCCUCUCCCUUUCCUUUAUUAUUAUUUCCUUUACUACGCGGGUUAUUGGAUCAGAACACCUUCCCAAACACUUUGCAAAUCUAAAAUCUGAACAGCAAUGAGCACACGGGUAUACAAGCACUCGUGCUGUUUUCUGUUGAUUUGCAAAAAUCUUCCUCUGGAAUCUUCUCUUGUCUAAUUUUAUUUUUUUAUCAAGAUAAGUGUUUAAGAGUGAUAAAGAACUUAAAAGAUAUAUUUUUUUUAUUUUUAAUCUUGAAUAAAUUUUCAAAGUAGCAAAGCUUUGACCACUCAAGGAUUCUGGGGGCUCCUUUUGUUCCCACCAGGAUUAUGCCAUACUCUCCACAUACUCCUUUUAAUUCUCUGAUGUUUCAUUUCUCCUUGUCCAGAAUAUAAUAGGAAAAUAAUUUCUGUUGGGGUUAUAAAUUUUGAAAUUUUCAUAAUUAACCCCUGUUUUUUUCUUUUCUGACUGAUCUUUUCGGUAUUUUCUCUCAAACUGCUUUGACAGCUUUCGGUCUUCAGAAUAUUGUUUCCUUGCCUGCCAUUUUUUUGCCCCUAAGUUCCUUGUAACUUGCAAUGAAUUACACGCAACCUCUGCCUAUCCUUGGCUGAGUUCCUUGAAAUUCUACUGUUUAGUAAUUUGAUGCUAAUUCCUAUGUGCCAAUUCUGCUCCAUUAGCGUGAUUUACAAACUAAACGAACCUUGAUUUUAAUAAACCAGGGUUGAGGUGGAUAGCAAUUAUGAAAGGAGAGAACACCUCUGAGAGUUUCAUUUUAAUUGAAAUAUAAUUCACAUGCCUAAACAUCUUGAAAAAUCAGAGAUAGACACCUCAGCUUCCACUUGUUGAUGUUUUUCUUCUCAAAUCAUGUAUUGCAGGUCAAAAAAAGACUUGCUGAGAAAGAGAACGGCCUUACUUCUGCAUGCUGGUUUCUUUGACCACCUGAACUAGUGUCUUGCACGCAAACUUCUGAAUCAUCCAUGUGAUGGUUUACUUAUUAAAUCAAAACAAUGCACUGAAUAUAGGGCAAAAUGCUGCUUGAUGCCAAAUGUUUAAAUCUCCCUGAUUUGCCCUAGCAUACCUAUGCAUAAAUUAUUUUUACAAUCCAUUCCCAGCUGAAGCUCCUUUUCCACAGGAAUGGGAGAAAAUUGGAAACCAAUCCACAAAUUGUCAUACAUUUUCACAAACCCUAGAAGCUGUCAUUUUCUUGCUGCUUAGUAUUUUGAACAGUCUCGCCCACAGAAAUCUGCUGUCUCUGAUUUAAAGUCACUAUGUCAGUAUUUUGGGCUUGCUUCAGCUGUCACUCUAGCUGCUUUGUGCUUCACACUGCAGCAUCACUGCAAUUGUGGCUAGACUGGACAAAGAUUAACCAUAACCGUAACCGUGAGCAGAUCUGUGCUUUACCUUUCUUGAAGUUUAUUGCCAGGACAAUUCUGUAACAACCAUUGGUGAAGAUGCAAAUUGUAGAAAUUGUCCUAAUCUGGUUACUUCUCUGUUUUGGGAAGGGAAGGGAGGGGGAAAGAAAGAGGGGUAGACAUGAAAAAAUACUUUGAUAAAGCAGGAGGAUCAGUGCACUGAAUAUUUAAACCUCCAAGAGAGGCAUGGAGAAUCAUGAGCAAUGCUAAUCAACAAAGCAUAUGUUUGGGAAGAAAUCAGUUAACCAGAGUUAGGAAUAAUAAUGUAAAAACGUAAUUUAAUUGUAAUAGCAUACUGAUAUUUUGGAAUGAAAGGAGGUCGGUUCUUUCAAGGCCUCUCUAGGCUUGUGUUUCUACUCAAUAGUGGUUUAUUUAUUUUUUAUCCCCUUUUAAGUGUCAGUCUCCUUUUGAACAUAGUUGCAGCUUUUACUGCUGCUCUUUUAUAGUGUGUUCCACAUGUUAACCCUUUCUAAAUUCUUUUUUUUUCUUCCAAUCAGUGCAAUAUAAACUCAAACUAUAGUGGAAUGCUUGUAACCACAAAGGCUUAAAACCUCACUAAUGAAUUAGUAACAAGAAGCCUGACAUUUUGCUUAUUAAAGGGUGGGGAAAGGGAAGGAAAUAAUUAUUUAUGUUCCUUUUUUUUUCUUCUUGAUUUACUUACAUUCAUGUAUUGAACGGUACCAGAGCCAGGCAAUGAUAGGAGGAUAAAGUAAUCCAGAUGUCUUCAGUUGAUGCCAAAGAGAGUAAGUUGUUUUUUUUCACAUUAGCAACUGUAUGUAAAUAAGAUUAUUGUUCUCUAAAAGUAAUAUCAGUUUGUAAUUUAAGGAAGGUUGUUUUUGAAGACUGAAGACAAAGAGAUGAAGCUUAAUGAUAUAUUUAAGCUUGCCAGGAACUGUCUGGUAUAAGCAUAUGUAUUUUUAUAUGCAUUUUUGUGUCAUUUUCAACUGUGAAGGCUGUUGCAGGAACAUACACAAAUGACACAGAUGAGUACCUUUCUUUCUUUUGAAUCAAUACCCACGCAUUUCUUCAGAUUUCUUGCUAUCAGAAUUAUUUCUGUUUUUAUUCAUGUACCAAAUGUAAUACUAGUGUUUUUGCUUGUAAUCCUGGAAGCUUUUUAAGCCCAGAUCUUCCACUGUUGUCUACUCCAUUGUGGCAUGAUUGUGAACACUGCUCUGCUACAGAUCAAAAGCAAUUUGAUGAAUCUAUUUAUUUAGUGUAAACAGCAUGUGCUUGAGUAUUUCAACUGACUUACGAUAUAGCAUAUUGACCAGUCAUAUAGAAAUAUGUUCUGCACUAUUGUUCCUACUUCACAGAUAGUGUCCAGGAGACUCUUGGAUCAGCAGUUGCUCACCGACCUCUGUGGUGCUGCAUGGAUUUAUGAGUUCAAAUGGUCUUACUGAUUUUUUACAGCUGUCCAAACCAGCUCUCAUAAGGACUUCAUCUGUAUUUCCAUGUACGUGUAAGCGUAGAAUGCAGAGGAGGAAGAGGUGACUUUAGUCUUCUGCCUGUUUAUGGAGGAACAGGAUGUUUGUUCCUGACAAUUCCAGUUCUCAUCUGAAUCUGGUUUAUUCUUGCUGCUACACUUAGGUUAUACUAGGUUAUUGGGCUGUCUACGAGGGUGGAUAGUGAUAGAAAAAGGGGGAAUGGUUCUAGACUAAGACAGGGGAAGUUUAGGUUAGAUAUUAGGAGGAAGUUUUUCAGUCAGAAGGUGGUGACACUGGAACAGCUUGUCCAAGGAGGUUGUGGAUGCCCCAUCCCUGGAGGCUUUCAAGGCCAGGCUGGCUCUGGGCAGCCUGGUCUGGUGGUUGGCGACCCUGCACAUAGCAGGGGGUUGAAACUAAAUGAUCAAAGAUCAUCUUGAGAUCAUUAAAGGUGUUAAGGUUGGAGACGGCCUGGGCUGCAGUGGCCAUGCCCUGGUUGAUCUCGAGGGAUGUGGACCUGGCAAAGAGUAGAGUCACGACCCGGAACUUCGGAAGAGUGAACUUUAAGCUGUUCAAUGGACUGUUGGCCAAGAUCCCCUGGGAUGCUGUCUUUAAAAACAAAGAUGUUGAGGAGAGCUUGUUACUCUUCAAGGAUGCCUUCCUGAGAGCACUCUGUGUCCCUCUGAAUAAUAAAGUGGGCAGAGGAGGUAGGAAACUGACAUGGGCUUGACAAGGACCUGCUGAGAAUGCUAAGGGCAAAGAAAGGUGCACACAAGCUCUGGAAACAAGGCCAUGUCACCUGGGAAGAAUACAGGGAUGCUGUUUGGACUUGCAGACGUGGGAUCAGGAAAACCAAGGCACAGGCAGAACUGAACUUGGUGAGGGACAUGAAAAACAAUAGGAAGACUUUGUACAGGUACAUUGGCCAGAAGA
Long non-coding RNA from Lagopus muta (rock ptarmigan), 5268 nucleotides. RefSeq lists it as uncharacterized. The record is from RefSeq and is a predicted model, not a curated record. Lineage: Eukaryota; Metazoa; Chordata; Aves; Galliformes; Phasianidae. The transcript has 4 exons.